Molecule: ribosomal RNA, 164 nt
Filed under: uncultured bacterium
Lineage: Bacteria
Description: partial 16S rRNA
Rfam family: Bacterial small subunit ribosomal RNA
Source: RNAcentral
UAGGGAAUCUUCCACAAUGGACGCAAGUCUGAUGGAGCAACGCCGCGUGAGUGAAGAAGGUCUUCGGNUCGUAAAACUCUGUUGUUAGAGAAGAACACGAGUGAGAGUAACUGUUCAUUCGAUGACGGUAUCUAACCAGCAAGUCACGGCUAACUACGUGCCAG